UGGGGAAUAUUGGGCAAUGGGCGAAAGCCUGACCCAGCGACACCGCGUGAGGGAAGAAGGUCUUCGGAUUGUAAACCUUAAAUAACAGGGACGAAAGAAAUGACGGUACCUGUUGGGAAGCCACGGCUAACUACGUGCCAGCAGCCGCGGUAAUACGUAGGUGGCAAGCGUUAUCCGGAUUUACUGGGUGUAAAGGGCGCGUAGGCGGGGGAUGCAAGUCAGAUGUGAAAUCUAUGGGCUUAAACCCAUAAACUGCAUUUGAAACUGUAUCUCUUGAGUGUCGGAGAGGUAGACGGAAUUCCUAGUGUAGCGGUGAAAUGCGUAGAUAUUAGGAGGAACACCAGUGGCGAAGGCGGUCUACUGGACGAUAACUGACGCUGAGGCGCGAAAGCGUGGGGAG
This 400-nucleotide ribosomal RNA is filed under the name uncultured Oscillospiraceae bacterium. RNAcentral's name for it is "bacterial SSU rRNA". It matches the Rfam family "Bacterial small subunit ribosomal RNA", at positions 355 to 768 of the family's 1533-position model. Lineage: Bacteria; Bacillati; Bacillota; Clostridia; Eubacteriales; Oscillospiraceae. The record is from RNAcentral.